AUGGAACAGUGUGGCAUACCACAAAUCCAGAGAGUUUCCAUUUCCACCAGUUUCCUCCUCAUAAUCAGACUGUCUAAUUCCUUUCAGGAAAGAAAACCGAAAGUACACAUGGUAGCUAAAUUAUUUGAAAUUCAGUCUCAUGUUCAAUUAAGAACUCUAAUACUAAUGACCUUGCCUAAUGGCUUUGUCCUGUGUUUGGACCAGCAACUUCAAGGCUCCUGGUGGCUUCCCCGCAGGCUGCGACUCCGUUUUGCUCUUCUGGUUCCAAGGAGACAGCAAUUCAGAUGCUUCCCGAAACACCUUCCUGUCAUGGAAGUGGAACAGAGAGGAAGAUGGAAGACGUGUCGACUCUUUUGAAGGAUGCGGGAAGAUAGGAUUCUGUCAACGUUUUCCUUUCUGGUGGUGGCAGAUCCUAAAGUUCUAAGCUAGAAGGAAGGUCCGAUAGUUGGGAUUUGGAGACUCAGUUUGGGGACCUGUGAUUUGGUACCCCAAGAGCAUGAGCGUACAGUGUCCUUUCGGGUGAGUAGAAAUAGAAUCUUUCCAUAUCCGUCUUCUGCUACCCAUGUCCGUGUGCUACCCUUACUAAUUUAACUUCCUAAGCUCUGUCAAGAUAGUAGUACCUCCCCACAGCAAUUGGGGUUGCAGACAAUGGAGAGAGAUGGUUUAGGGGACAUUGUUGGUGAUCUGUCACCUCUACCCAUCUCAAUGGAUCCACCUGUUGUUUUCAUUUACAGCAUCACCCAUGUUCUUUGAGGACAACCAAUCAGUCCUUCCCUUCCCAACCUAAGG
This 789-nucleotide long non-coding RNA is filed under the name Oryctolagus cuniculus (rabbit). Its description in RNAcentral is "lncRNA (ENSOCUG00000034323.1)". The record is from RNAcentral. Lineage: Eukaryota; Metazoa; Chordata; Mammalia; Lagomorpha; Leporidae.